RNAcentral lists this ribosomal RNA (512 nucleotides) under uncultured bacterium. RNAcentral's name for it is "partial 16S ribosomal RNA". It matches the Rfam family "Bacterial small subunit ribosomal RNA", at positions 28 to 507 of the family's 1533-position model. The record is from RNAcentral.
GAUGAACGCUGGCGGCGUGCCUAAUACAUGCAAGUCGAACGAAACUUCUUUAUCACCGAGUGCUUGCACUCACCGAUAAAAAGUUGAGUGGCGAACGGGUGAGUAACACGUGGGCAACCUGCCCAAAAGAGGGGGAUAACACUUGGAAACAGGUGCUAAUACCGCAUAACCAUAGUUACCGCAUGGUAACUAUGUAAAAGGUGGCUAUACUACCGCUUUUGGAUGGGCCCGCGGCGCAUUAGCUAGUUGGUAGGGUAAAGGCUUACCAAGGCAAUGAUGCGUAGCCGAAUUGAGAGGUUGAUCGGCCACAUUGGGACUGAGACACGGCCCAAACUCCUACGGGAGGCAGCAGUAGGGAAUCUUCCACAAUGGGCGAAAGCCUGAUGGAGCAACGCCGCGUGGGUGAAGAAGGUCUUCGGAUCGUAAAACCCUGUUGUUAGAGAAGAAAGUGCGUGAGAGUAACUGUUCACGUUUCGACGGUAUCUAACCAGAAAGCCACGGCUAACUACGUG